UUAAUUAAGAUGACUCAAACAUUACAUGAUAUCCCGUGGAUAUCAUGAAUAAUACGUGGUUGACCCUGGACUUCUCUUCACCAGAAAAGUCUUCAGGCUGACGUGGAACGAAAACAAAGUAUCCCUUGACAAGAAGUAUGUUGUACCAGAUCAGGUCAGCUUCGCUCCACGUCAGUCUUGCUUCAAAACAAAUAAGAAGAAGGUUUUUUCAGGCUCCAGAAGCUACCAAGAAAAACUAAGUGUAGAUGUACAAUCCAGCGGUAAGGGGCUAGGAAGAGGACGCCAUUCUUCCACUAUUUUCAGCAACUCUAUUUGUGUUCUAUUUCUUAACGCGGGUGCUCGUUGCACUCAAGCGAAACCUAAAGGAUGAGGCGGAUUGGAAAUGGUCAGAGGUUGCCCCUUGUAAACUCAAGAUAAGCAUCCGUUCCACAGAGCCUCCAAAAACGAGUGCUAAACUUCGCCUGGUUUACAAAUGGAAAUCAGCGGCGCCUCGUCUUGGAAGUCAAGACUUUGUCGCUGAUGCUUACUUAAAUACCGACAGCAAUUGGGGUAAGUAUUCCUCGUAGCGAUCAGCAAAAUUUUAAUUACCACAAAUACUGUUACCGUCUUCAAAUUGACGAUAUAAUUUCAGUUGCUCAUCUCUUCUCGUAAUUUUAUUUCCAGGAGUGGGUGAUUCUUUGGAUGGAGAUGCAGGUCAUGUAUUAUCGCCACUUGCUGAUGGUAAUUUCCUGAAUGACUUUGCGAAACAGCGGUCGCAGACACAAGUUCCUUCGCAAGUCCACACAGAGCUUCAUCAACACGUUCAUCAUCUGCAAAAUAUCCAAGACGUAAAUGUUAGCUCUGAGUACUGCGCAGUCGGGGACCAUUCUUCCUUUUCCAUUCAGGAACCAUCAACCAGCCCAAGAGCCCUUCCACCAGGUCCGAGUACAGCUACAUAGAGAAGCAUAACUGACGGCUCGCAGCACAGAGACACAAACUCUUCUGGAGAAUAAAAAAAUACCCGCUGUAGGAAAGAAAUUUCAGUUUGGAAUUCAGUUCACAUGUUAUUAUGAUGAAUAACGCUUUAAUUCACUCUCUGUAUCACUGCGACUUAAAACUAACUGAUUUUAAGGUGGAAAAAUUUUGAAUGCUCGGACAUCAUUAUUCACUGCGAAAAUUUUAUUUAACUGUAUUCGUAGAUGAUUGUUCUUGUUUUGUUUGUUUGUUUUUAAGUGGAAGAGAAUUUUAUUCCCGAGUCUCUUCUUCUUGCGGAAUCAUGUUGAAAACUACUCACGAUUAACUUUUUUAAAGCAUUUUAGAGGACGACUUUAAGGUU
Molecule: long non-coding RNA, 1315 nt
Organism: Stylophora pistillata
Lineage: Eukaryota; Metazoa; Cnidaria; Anthozoa; Scleractinia; Pocilloporidae
Source: RefSeq, a predicted model, not a curated record